CCCAUGGCUUUCCAGACUCUGAAGCCUCUCUUCCAGGGCUUUGACAGGAAAAGAGACAGCAUCAAAACCUUUCCUAGGUAUUUUGAGGCUAUAUGGCAUCCGAUACCAUCCCCUGACCUUCCGAAAAAAACAGACCGACCCUCACAGUGGAGGAAUAGCUCAUUUUGAGUCUGACAUGAGUGCCAGGCUCUACUACUCAAAUUCUGUUCUUAUUUUCUCACCCCUGGGCACCUCCCACAUCCAAGUAAAAAAGAGCCCUCGACUGCAUUCUCUCUUGGUGGUAUCACUACUAGAAAAUGGAGCCUUUUCUUUCUGAGGUGAGAACGAAGGACCUGAACCCAGGGCCUCACACAUGGUGAUGAGUGUUCUACCAGGCUCCUCUCUAUCUGUGAGCCACAUGUAUUUGCACUCACAGGUGAUUUGGUGGGUUCCUGAAGUCGUUCUAGUCCUGUCUUAUUGCAGUCCCAGAUGAUCUCAGAGGUCAUGCCACCUUCCAGAUACCAGGCUGCAGAUGCUACCAUGACUCUGCCCCAACUUCUCUGGGCAGAUGACCUCACCAAUGUGUCCUGGACUCUCAUCUCUCCAGUGCUCUGGCCCACUAGAGAAAGAUAGAAACAGGCUGGGGGUAUGGAUCGACCUGUCAACACCCAUGCUCAGUGGAGAAGCAGCUACAGAAGCCAGAAAUCCUACCUUCUACUCCCCAUAAACAACCUUGGUCCAUACUCCCAGCAGGGGAGAAGUGAUAGGAGGAAGAUAAGAGGACUCUGCACUCCAGCUCCAUCAGCACCCAGAGAGAGAGAAGGAAAAGGAGAGAGACAUAUGGAGGUAGCUUUGAUGUCACGAUUAGUUUAUAGGGAAAGAGAGGAUUGUAUCAGGAAAAGAAGGGGUAACUUUGUAUAAAUGUGGACAGAUAGUUGUAGAGAAGAUGGUUGGCCCAUGUCUACAACUUUAGGGAAACUGUGGUGGAUUGCAAUGAGGUCAGUGAAGAUUCAGAACUCUGGUGGUGAGAAUGGUGUGAAUUCAAACCCCUGUUGACAUGUAAUUCUGUAAUUUAAAAAUAUAAAAAUAAAUAAAUAAAUAAAUAAAAGAUUCCAGCAUUGUGAAAAUGAAAAAAAAAUGUUUACAGUAUACCAAUACUAAAGAAUUUCAUGAUGAAAUACAUAGUGGUAUUAAUAAAAGUGAUUGAAAUUGUAUAAUGAAAUGUGUCAACUGUUGGAAGCUCUGUAUGACUCAAAUCAAUCAGUAUUUUUGAAAUGACCAAAAACCUGAUGCAAGUACAAGAGAGAAUAUAUUUUAAAAACAGUGAGGUGCAAAAAAUCAUUGAUAUGGUCCAAUCUUUAGGAAGUCAAAAUGAUCACUUGAGGGCUGGUGAGAUCACUCACCUACGAGGCCUGCUUUGCCGUGUGCACCACUCAGGUUCAAGGUCAGCCCCCACUGCACUGAAAGAAGCUCCGGUGCUGUGGUGUCUUCAUCUUUCUCUGCCUGUCUGUCUGGGGAGAAAGGAGGCCCAGAGUGCUGAAUCUCCAGGGACAAGGGGAAAAAAAAAAAAGAGAGAAAGAGAAAAAAGGAAAAAAGAAAAGAAAGAAAAGUCGUGAUCACUUGUUAAGUUUUGAUGUCAAGUCAAAAGGAGAAAUAUUCAGAAUUAUCUGAAAAAGCUAUUAAAACUGUCCUCUUUCAUAUUUAUGUGAGAUCAUUUUUUUGUUUUUGUCUUUCAACAUCAUUCACAAUAAUGUACCACAUAAGCUAUAUAAGACUGGAUUCAAAAACAGAUACAGAGGCAGAGAAGAUAGCAUAUUAAUUAUGAAAAAAAACUCUAAUGCCUGAGGCAACGAAAAUGCCACCUUCAGUCCCUGGAGAUGAACUGAGCACUUCUCUGGUUAAAAAGAAAAAGGAGGAGGAGGAGAAGAAGGAGAAUAAGAAAAAGAAGAAGGAGAAGGAGAUGGAGGAGAAGGAGAAGGAGGUGGAGGGAAGACAGCGAAGGAAGGAGAAAAAAAAAAACAUAUAGAAUUACCUCUGUGCUUUAUUAAGUUAGACAUUAAAAUAUUUAUAAAAAUAUAGAACAGUGCCUCUUUUUUCAGCUUUGCUCAUUAAAAUAUUUAUUAUGUUUUAUAUAAUGGACUAUAUUCUUUUUUAAAUUUUAUUCAUUUA
Molecule: long non-coding RNA, 2148 nt
Organism: Erinaceus europaeus (western European hedgehog)
Lineage: Eukaryota; Metazoa; Chordata; Mammalia; Eulipotyphla; Erinaceidae
Exons: 4
Source: RefSeq, a predicted model, not a curated record